Molecule: ribosomal RNA, 1017 nt
Filed under: uncultured bacterium
Lineage: Bacteria
Description: bacterial SSU rRNA
Rfam family: Bacterial small subunit ribosomal RNA
Source: RNAcentral
UGAGGAAUAUUGGUCAAUGGACGAGAGUCUGAACCAGCCAAGUAGCGUGAAGGAUGACUGCCCUAUGGGUUGUAAACUUCUUUUAUACGGGAAUAAAGUGAGCCACGUGUGGCUUUUUGUAUGUACCGUAUGAAUAAGGAUCGGCUAACUCCGUGCCAGCAGCCGCGGUAAUACGGAGGAUCCGAGCGUUAUCCGGAUUUAUUGGGUUUAAAGGGAGCGUAGGCGGGUUGUUAAGUCAGUUGUGAAAGUUUGCGGCUCAACCGUAAAAUUGCAGUUGAUACUGGCGACCUUGAGUGCAACAGAGGUAGGCGGAAUUCGUGGUGUAGCGGUGAAAUGCUUAGAUAUCACGAAGAACUCCGAUUGCGAAGGCAGCUUACUGGAUUGUAACUGACGCUGAUGCUCGAAAGUGUGGGUAUCAAACAGGAUUAGAUACCCUGGUAGUCCACACAGUAAACGAUGAAUACUCGCUGUUGGCGAUAUACGGUCAGCGGCCAAGCGAAAGCAUUAAGUAUUCCACCUGGGGAGUACGCCGGCAACGGUGAAACUCAAAGGAAUUGACGGGGGCCCGCACAAGCGGAGGAACAUGUGGUUUAAUUCGAUGAUACGCGAGGAACCUUACCCGGGCUUAAAUUGCAACUGACGGAACCGGAAACGGUUCUUUCUUCGGACAGUUGUGAAGGUGCUGCAUGGUUGUCGUCAGCUCGUGCCGUGAGGUGUCGGCUUAAGUGCCAUAACGAGCGCAACCCUUAUCGAUAGUUACUAGCAGGUCAUGCUGAGGACUCUAUUGAGACUGCCGUCGUAAGAUGUGAGGAAGGUGGGGAUGACGUCAAAUCAGCACGGCCCUUACGUCCGGGGCUACACACGUGUUACAAUGGGGGGUACAGAAGGCAGCUACACGGCGACGUGGUGCUAAUCCCUAAAGCCUCUCUCAGUUCGGAUUGGAGUCUGCAACCCGACUCCAUGAAGCUGGAUUCGCUAGUAAUCGCGCAUCAGCCACGGCGCGGUGAAUACGUUCCC